Molecule: ribosomal RNA, 852 nt
Filed under: Streptococcus agalactiae
Lineage: Bacteria; Bacillati; Bacillota; Bacilli; Lactobacillales; Streptococcaceae
Description: bacterial SSU rRNA
Rfam family: Bacterial small subunit ribosomal RNA
Source: RNAcentral
AAAGAGCGCNGCUAACUGCAGUAGACGCUGAGGUUUGGUGUUUACCUAGACUGAUGAGUUGCGAACGGGUGAGUAACGCGUAGGUAACCUGCCUCAUAGCGGGGGAUAACUAUUGGAAACGAUAGCUAAUACCGCAUAAGAGUAAUUAACACAUGUUAGUUAUUUAAAAGGAGCAAUUGCUUCACUGUGAGAUGGACCUGCGUUGUAUUAGCUAGUUGGUGAGGUAAAGGCUCACCAAGGCGACGAUACAAAGCCGACCUGAGAGGGUGAUCGGCCACACUGGGACUGAAACACGGCCCAGACUCCUACAGGAGGCGAGCAGUAGGGAAUCUUCUGCAAUGGACGGAAGUCUGACCGAGAAACGCCGCGUGAGUGAAGAAAGUUUUCGGAUCUUAAAGCUCUGUUGUUAGAGAAGAACCUUGGUAGGAGUGGAAAAUCUACCAAGUGACAGUUACUAACCACAAAGGGACGGGUAACUACGUGCCAACAGCCGCGGUAAUACAUAAGUCCCGAGCGUUGUCCGGAUUUAUUGGGCGUAAAGCGAGCGCACGCGGUUCUUUAAAUCUGAAGUUAAAGGCAGUGGCUUAACCAUUGUACGCUUUGUAAACUGGAGGACUUGAGUGCUGAANGAGAGAGUGGAAUUCCUUGUGUAGCGGUGAAAUGCGUAGAUAUAUGGAGGAACACUGGUGGCGAAAACGGCUCUCUGGUCUGUAACUGACACUGAAGCUCGAAAGCGUGGGGAGCAAACACGAUUAUAUACCCUGGUAGUACACGCCGUAAACAAUGAGUGCUANGAGUUAGGCCAUUUCCGGGCUUUAUGCGCUGCUUACGCAUUAAAACUCCCCCUGGGGA